CGCAGCCGCGGUAAUUCCAGCUCCAAUAGCGUAUAUUAAAGUUGUUGCAGUUAAAAAGCUCGUAGUUGAAUUUCGGGGUUAGUAGAUUGGUCAUGCCUCCGGUAUGCACUGGUCUUACUGAUUCCUCCUUCCUGAUGAACCGUAAUGCCAUUAAUUUGGUGUUGCGGGGAAACUGGACUGUUACUUUGAAAAAAUUAGAGUGUUUAAAGCAGGCUCACGCUUGAAUACAUUAGCAUGGAAUAAUGAAAUAGGACGUUUGAUUCUAUUUUGUGGUUUCUAGGAUUGACGUAAUGGUUAAUAGGGAUAGUUGGGGGCAUUAGUAUUCAAUUGUCAGAGGUGAAAUUCUUGGAUUUAUUGAAGACUAACUACUGCGAAAGCAUUUGCCAAGGAUGUUUUCAUUAAUCAAGAACGAAAGUUAGGGGAUCGAAGACGAUCAGAUACCGUCGUAGUCUUAACCAUAAACUAUAGCCGACUAGGGAUCGGAUGAUGUAAUUUUUUAAUGUACUCAUUCGGCGCCUUA
RNAcentral lists this ribosomal RNA (520 nucleotides) under uncultured Glomus. RNAcentral's name for it is "SSU rRNA". It matches the Rfam family "Eukaryotic small subunit ribosomal RNA", at positions 569 to 1090 of the family's 1831-position model. Lineage: Eukaryota; Fungi; Glomeromycota; Glomeromycetes; Glomerales; Glomeraceae. The record is from RNAcentral.